UUUCAUAAAAUGUUUUAAUGUUUUUGAUGAUUUUAAGUAAAGAGGAAAUGAGUUUUUGAAUAAAAACACCCUUGGAGGAAACUCAGGUUCGGCCGCCGAAACUCAAAGUUCGGCCGCCGAACAUGCAUGCACUUCGGGAGUACUUUAGGCCCCCGAAGGCAUAAGUGAGGAAAGUCCAGGUUCGGCCGCCGAACCUCAAGUUCGGCCGCCGAACAUGGCAUGCAUGCGGAGGCACUUUCGGCCCCCGAACGUGGCCUGGCCAGCCACUAUAAAAGGGUCCCUUAGCCGAAAACGGGCGAGCUUUU
RNAcentral lists this long non-coding RNA (305 nucleotides) under Manihot esculenta (cassava). RNAcentral describes it as "long non-coding RNA (MESC_LNC010181)". Lineage: Eukaryota; Viridiplantae; Streptophyta; Magnoliopsida; Malpighiales; Euphorbiaceae. The record is from RNAcentral.